Molecule: ribosomal RNA, 440 nt
Filed under: uncultured bacterium
Lineage: Bacteria
Description: partial 16S ribosomal RNA
Rfam family: Bacterial small subunit ribosomal RNA
Source: RNAcentral
CCUACGGGAGGCUGCAGUGGGGAAUAUUGCUCAAUGGGGGAAACCCUGAAGCAGCAACGCCGCGUGAAGGAAGAAGGUUUUAGGAAUGUAAAGCUCUUUUGUGAGGGAAGAAAAUGACGGUACCUGAUUAAUAAGCACCGGCUAACUACGUGCCAGCAGCCGCGGUAAUACGUAGGGGGCAAGCGUUAUCCGGCAUUACUGGGCGUAAAGGGUGCGUAGGCGGGGUUGCAAGUCAGAAGUGAAAGCCCGGGGCUCAACUCCGGGACUGCUUUUGAAACUGUGUGACUGGAGUGGAGGAGAGGUAAGCGGAAUUCCUGGUGUAGCGGUGAAAUGCGUAGAUAUCAGGAGGAACACCAGUGGCGAAGGCGGCUUACUGGACUGUAACUGACGUUGAGGCUCGAAAGCGUGGGGAGCAAACAGGAUUAGAUACCCCAGUAGUC